UGCCAGCCGCCGCGGUAAUACGGAGGGUGCAAGCGUUAAUCGGAAUUACUGGGCGUAAAGCGCGCGUAGGUGGAUGAUUAAGUCAGAUGUGAAAGCCCAGGGCUUAACCUUGGAACUGCAUUUGAUACUGGCGAACUUGAGUACGGGAGAGGAAAGUGGAAUUCCGAGUGUAGGGGUGAAAUCCGUAGAUAUUCGGAGGAACACCAGUGGCGAAGGCGGCUUUCUGGACCGAUACUGACGCUGAGACGCGAAAGCGUGGGGAGCAAACAGGAUUAGAUA
RNAcentral lists this ribosomal RNA (279 nucleotides) under uncultured bacterium. Its description in RNAcentral is "partial 16S ribosomal RNA". It matches the Rfam family "Bacterial small subunit ribosomal RNA", at positions 506 to 784 of the family's 1533-position model. The record is from RNAcentral.